CCUACGGGUGGCAGCAGUGAGGAAUAUUGGUCAAUGGACGAGAGUCUGAACCAGCCAAGUAGCGUGAAGGAUGACUGCCCUCUGGUUUUUAAAUUUCUUUUAUAUGGGCGUAAAACGUUCCACGUGUGGGAUUUUGUAUGUCCCAUAUGAAUAAGGAUCGGCUCACUCCGUGCCAGCAGCCGCGGUAAUACGGAGGAUCCGAGCGUUAUCCGGAUUUAUUGGGUUUAAAGGGAGCGUAGGUGGAUUGUUAAGUCAGUUGUGAAAGUUUGCGGCUUAACCGUAAAAUUGCAGUUGAAACUGGCAGUCUUGAGUACAGGAGAGGUGAGCGGAAUUCGUGGUGUAGCGGUGAAAUGCGUAGAUAUCACGAAGAACUCCGAUUGCGAAGGCAGUUCACUGGACUGCAACUGACACUGAGGCUCGAAAGUGUGGGGAUCAAACAGGAUUAGAUACCCCAGUAGUC
Molecule: ribosomal RNA, 460 nt
Filed under: uncultured bacterium
Lineage: Bacteria
Description: partial 16S ribosomal RNA
Rfam family: Bacterial small subunit ribosomal RNA
Source: RNAcentral